This 308-nucleotide long non-coding RNA is filed under the name Cyanistes caeruleus (blue tit). Its description in RNAcentral is "lncRNA (ENSCCEG00000000827.1)". The record is from RNAcentral. Lineage: Eukaryota; Metazoa; Chordata; Aves; Passeriformes; Paridae.
AAAAGAUAAUUUUUACUUCCCAAAAGUAAAUGGGAUCUUUAUACUGUAGGUUGCUGCAAAUAUCAAGAGGCAAUUUUGAAGAUAUGAGUUUAAGAAGAUAUGAGUUUAAGGGCUCCCCAGACCCAGGAAUAUGGUCUCAAAAAAGAGCAGGAUUAAAGAUGUCAUCACCUGGACCCACAGGCUGUUACCCUAGUUGCCAUUGGGCCUACAGUAAAUCCUGACCCAUCCAGGAAAACAGUGACACUCCAAAGGCUGGUUGCAACAUUUUGAAUUUAACCAACCAGCUGACUAAUCAACCUACCAGCCCU